Molecule: non-coding RNA, 100 nt
Organism: Mycena metata
Lineage: Eukaryota; Fungi; Basidiomycota; Agaricomycetes; Agaricales; Mycenaceae
Source: the annotation of a GenBank genome assembly
GCUUCCCUGGCUCAGUUGGUUAGAGCGCCAGUCUCAUAUAUUGUGAUCAAGCGUGGCUUGAGUAAUCUGGAGGUCAUGAGUUCGACCCUCAUGGGGAGCA